Molecule: non-coding RNA, 429 nt
Organism: Limanda limanda (common dab)
Lineage: Eukaryota; Metazoa; Chordata; Actinopteri; Pleuronectiformes; Pleuronectidae
Source: the annotation of a RefSeq genome assembly
CUCCAACUCUGCAGGACUCAGACCCGUCAGUCCACCACAACCACCAUGACUCUCAUCACCCUCCUCAUCUGGACGCUGGCCUGCUGCAGCUUCACAGGAUGCAGCGGCCAGGUGACUGUGACUCAGCCUCCAUUUGUGACAUUUACUACAGGAUCCACUGUCACACUGACCUGUAAAACCAACCCCAGUGUUUAUACUGAUAGUGCUGGUCAUUAUACGUCCUGGUACCAGCAGAAACCUGGACAGGCUCCCAAGCUUCUUAUAAAGUUAGCAUCAACUCUUCUAUCAGGAAUUCCCUCUCAAUUCAGUGGCAGUGGCUCUGGUUCUAGCUUCACCUUAACCAUCAGCGGUAUUCAGGCUGAAGAUGUUGGAGAUUAUUACUGUCAGAGCUUCCAUGUAGUAAACGGAGCAUACGUGUUCACACAGUGA